Molecule: long non-coding RNA, 10411 nt
Filed under: Triticum aestivum (bread wheat)
Lineage: Eukaryota; Viridiplantae; Streptophyta; Magnoliopsida; Poales; Poaceae
Description: long non-coding RNA (TAES_LNC026741)
Rfam family: MIR1120/MIR1122 microRNA precursor family (bases 3561-3697)
Source: RNAcentral
UGGACCGGUUAGACGGCACAAGGUAUAUUUGAACAGGACAUACUGAUUCAAAUAUUUAGUAUAUUUGUGUCUUUGAUUCUUUUAGCAGGCAUGAUUCAUGUUCUCACAAUUCAGUUUUCUACCUUAGUGGAUUCAUGCACAAAUCACAUCUUUGUUGAGUUGUAUGCCACCGUAUAUGCUUAUGCAACAAAAAUGCCCGACCCUUGUACACAUUCCAAAACUUCUAGAUGUCCACUAGCUGUAUGAUUUUGCUCUAAAUUGCCCAUGUGUGUUCCUUCGCGGUCUAACAUGCCUUGGAGGCCCAUGCUGUUGCUUACAUUCUCGUAAUCUUCCUCUUAGAUUUGAUAAUAUAAAGCGGGGCGAAAGCCUUUUUUAGUAAUAUCGAUGAAUGGUGAAAGACAGUGACAAGUACUUGUUCAAGGAGCUAUCUGUGGGAGGGGAAGCGUGAAGGAUAGGGGCAAGCUCUGUUCUAUGCAACUUAGCUGGCUCAAAUUUGUUAGGAUAACUCAAACUUGUUCUCCUAUCAUUGGUUUUGUUUUGCCCCCAAAAAAAAAAAAAGAAUCCUUCUUCUGAUGACUAAUACAGUACUAAAAAUGAUUUGAUAACACAUGAAUGAAUGAUCCAUGUGUACAGCUUUCCUUUUUAGAGGACACAGUUCAGUUCGCCAACUGUCUGAGCACACUGAGCAAAGCCCCCAAGCCAAUCGAAGGUGUGUAUGGUGUGUAUGUAUGCGUGACACGGUUUCAUUCUUUAAACAUAACCAGUAAAUUUAUUUCUUUGCUGCACACUGUACCUACGUGCAUGACACGGUUUCAUUCUUUGUAUGUAACCGAUGAUUUUCAUUCUUUGUCUGGGGUUUGCCGCACCGAACGUGUGUAACCUGUAUGUAUCGCCAAGCCUGUGUGUGUGAUCUGAUGAAGGAAAUCGUAGGCGUCUGAUGUGCGACCAAGAUGAUGCCGACCUGACACAGCUGCAGAAUAAACACGGCACGAAGGUGUGCAGUGCGGCGAAGGUUGCUGUUGCUGAGCUCCAGGAGCACAACCCUGCGCCGGAUCUCUGGAACUUGAGCAAAGGAUGGUCGGCGACGACGACGGAGGCGCCCAACUGCUGAAGCAGCUCUCUAAGGGCAUCUUCAGCCGCGCCCCCAACAGACCCUUCCCAGGCAAUUUUGCCGUGCCGUCGUCAAAAAAAGGCCCCAGUUGCGCCCUCAGAAGCCCGUUUUUCGCCGGCUCGGGCCAAAACUGAUACCGGCGGACCCAGGCCGAACCCGGCGCCUUGGGGGCCCUUGGGGAGCCGGCACAAGCGAAAAAGGCGCGUGGGCCCGCCCUGGAGGCGACCCGAGGGCCUUUUCCCGCCGUUUCUUGACGCUUUUCCCUCGCAUCUCUCCCGCUCGCUCGCCUUCCUCCCGCCAUUCUCUCCCUUUCUCCCGCCAAACCCCCUCCCGCUCGCCUUCCAGUCGCCGCCAUGCUGCCGAAGCAGUACGCGGCAACCGCGACUGGCGCCGUGGCCCAGCCAAAGCAGAGGAAGCCGAGGGCGCCGCCAUCGAAGCCACCGGGCCUGUCGAACGCCGAAUGGAGGGUGGAAGUUCAACGGCGCGAAGCAGUCACCGCCGACAUGCGGAACAGGGCCAUAGCCAAGAAGGUCCGCGACAACGCGGCGCGCGCGACGGCGUCUUCCUCAUCGGUCGACCAGGCGGGGAUUAAUCCACCCGUCGUCAGCCACGCCCAGUACGCGCCCUGGGGACAGCAAGGCGCCGGAUCUACAUGAGGUUCAUCGUCGCCCGGCUACGCCGACGGCGACGCGCACGGUGGGUUCAACCCAAACGUGACCUUCCCUCAUGGUCACCCCGCUACACGCACGCCCUCGCCCGCCUUCGUCGGCGUGCCGUACCCUCCAUACAACUACUCGCCGCCCGCCGCCUACGCGUCCACACCGACGCCCCAUCUCUACCGUGGACCGCUACCCUUUCCGCACCUCGGCGACGCCGACGACACGGGAGCCGACAUGGACGACAUCAUCGCGACAGGAUCGACCGCGGCCGCCGCGUCUCCCGGGUUCGCCACCCAGGACGAGGUAGUGGACCUCAGCGGCGACAUGGAGGCCGAGCUCGGCUACGUCUACGGCGACGACGCGCAGGAACCCGAGGAGGAGGAGGAGGACGAGGAGGAGGAGGAGGAGUCGGCUCCUGUUCCGACGAAGGGGCGCCAGAAGAAGAAGAAGCGGGCGGCUAGGUCAGGCGAACCGCACAUCAAGUGGACGUCCAAGGAGGAGGAAUGCCUCGCCGAAGCAUGGAAAGUCGUCUGCCUCGACCCGACCACCGGCGCGAACCAGAGCUUGGAGACGUACUGGGACCGCAUCAAGGCCGAGUUCGACGAGCGGAAGCUCAUCGACCCCUACUUCAAAGGCGUCUACAUGCAGCGCGGCUCCAAGGCGAUGGUGAACCAUUGGGGGCGUAUCCAGUUGGCGUGCAACAAAUGGCAUGGAAUCGUCGAGGAGGUCGCGGCUCGCCCGGAGAGCGGCGCCAGCGUUGAGGAUCAGGUACGCACGCCGUUCGCCUGCAUAUCUUCGUCCCCUACACCCACCACCCGCCAACUGUUUGUCCCUCCGCGUAGCUGCUGCGUAUAUUCGCCAUGUAUCGGGGCGACAACCAAGACGCCGACUUCAAGCACCUCCACGUCUACAAGCGCAUUGACAAGUGCGAGAAGUGGGCGGAAGUCCGACGUGCCCUCGACAAGGCCAAGGAGACAUACAAGCCGGACGCGAUGACUCCGGGCGCGUCAGAGGGGCGGCCGGACGGCCAUAAAUUGGCAAAGAAGGGGAAAAGCGCCGACGCGGCAACCGCGCGAGUGCAGGAGUCCAUCGAGCAUUGCCUCGCCGACGCCCAGGCCCGGGCCGUCAUACGCGAAGAGAAGACCGAGGCGCGGUGGUCGUCGCUAAUGAAGAACAACGCCAUCAAGCUCGACCUGCUCCGGACGAACGUCGCCGCGAAGAAGAGGAACACCGACGUGGCUUUUCUGAUGGGCGAGGCUGACAUGCUCCAGAGCAACAACGAGAAGCUCAAGGCGUGGUACCUGGUGCAGCGCGGCCUCAUCCUGAACGAGCUGCCGACGGCAACGCCGACGACGCCCACGACCACACAGACGCCAAGCCUGAACGAUGCCUCUACAUCGCCGCCCAGUAGUGCCGAAGCCGCGCCGACGCAGCCCAGCACCGAAGCAGCUCCGACACAGCCAACGCCUGGAGCCGACCCCGCCGAGUGAAUCGUUGCGCACGCGAACUUGCGGCGGCGGCGCUCUGUUUUUUGUAACGCUAGACUACGUCCAAUCGCCGGAUUUGCGGCGUCUUUUGAGAGCGGGAACGACCAAGUUUAAAUUUCCUGCAUCCUGAGCCGGCGCGUGGGGGCGUGACUGGGAGUUAGGUCGCCCCCAGGGGCCGAACUAGCACCGGCACGCCCCCAGACCAUUCUAUUUAAGCGUCCUGGGGGGCCGAACGGCUGGAGAUGCCCUAAGCGUGAGCUCUCUGAAAGACACAAGCUCUGUUCUCUGCAAAUGCAAUGCUCUUCUGUACUUCCUCCGUCUGAACAUAUUUGUCAUCAAAAUAAAUAAAAUGAGAUGUAUUUAGAUGUAUUUUAGUUCUAAAUACAUCUCUUUUUAUCCAAUUUUAUGACAAAUAUUUCCGGACGAAAGGGUAGUAUCUUUUCUGAACUCAAUUAAGUGUCUACUCUGCGGCGGAGACAGGCCCAGGCAGCCGGGGCGGCAGCCUGGGCGUGGGGCAGUUUCCUUUGGUUACUGUAGCAUACAUUGUAGCUACAGUGACGGCACCCCCACUCACUCUGUUGCGGUGCAGAUGGAUGCGUCUUAUCCGCAUCUUAGUUGAGUACAAAUGCAGGAUGGCCGCUUAGUUGGAAGGAAAUGAAUGUAUUAGAUUUAUCACCCGAAAAUCCAAAUCUGAGCCCGAGCUCAUCUGCACCUGCGCUCACCAAAAAAAUCAAAAUAAAUACUAAAAAAAUUCAAAAAAUUCCAAAACAAAUUGGGGUGGUGGACAAUUUGAUGCGUGAGGCGCGCCUCAAUUUUCAAAACAUUUGGACUUAUAUGCAUCUCUCAACAAAAAAGAAAACAAAUCAGAGGUCAGUAAAAAUGUGUACUGUUCAUAUACUGUUUUGGUCUGAUUUGUCUUUUUUGCUGAGAGCUGCACAUAAGUCCAAAUAUUUACAAAAUUGGAGCGCACCUCACGCAUCAAAUUGUCCACCACCUCAAUUUUUUUCGGAAUUUUUUGAAUUUUUCUGAAUGUUUUACGAUUUUUUUUUGAACGGGUGCAGAUGCACCCGGGCACCGAAACGCCGCACUCAUUUAUCACCCCCUUUUUUUUGCAUGGAAGAUUAAUUAGACUGUUUGCCUGCAAAUGUAUUGAUCUACUACAGUUAGUUUCUAUGCAAACUGCUGCAUGUGUCCUCGCAGCUGGCUCCUGUAAUACACAAAACAUCAUUCCUCUGUUUUUAAUUGCUGUCUUAAAAAACACUUGCAGCUAAUUUUUUCUGGGAUCAAUACUUUGAUUUCAAAAAAGAAAACUGUUGCAUAUUUGUGGCAUGGGCUAACUGGGUUCAUGUUUGCUGACACACAAUAAAUAUAAAUAAAGACCUGCACUUAGAAUUUAACGGUGGCCUUCGUAAGUGUCAAUAAAUUAUCACAGAAAUAUAGAGCAUGUCACACGUAUUAAUUCGUGAAUAUAAGUUAUAUUGGGUCCAAACUUAAUCUAUUCAUUGUUGGCACCAACAAUUGCUAUCGGUGGUCACUAAAACAUCAAUGACAUUAAGCAACCAGCUGGCCGCCUUUAAAGACUAUGCUGUGUAGCCACAAACGCAAGCAGAGGAGGGCCAAGAUACUGACAACUGCCUCCAUCUCAAAAUAUAAGAAUUGCCUAUGAAAACGUCUUAUAUUUUGAGACGGAGGUAGCUUUGUACUAAACUUAUUUUGGGACGGAGGGAGUAUCUAGACGGAGAGAUGGAUGUAUCUAGACGUAUUUUUGUUCUAGAUGCAUCCAUUUCUAUGAUAAGUAUUUCCGGACGGGGGGAGUACUUCUGUGUGUGGUAGCUAGCCACUAGCCUUUGCUCUUGCUUAGCUCUAGUAUAAUUAGAUUAGUUAGACUGUUGUCUGCAAUCAAAACUGUAGCGAGGCCUUUCUACACAAACUGCUGCAUGUGUCCUCAGCAGCUGGCUCCGGUAUAACUCAAAACAAUAUCCCUCUGUUUCUAAUUGUUGUAUUUAAAUGCAUUAAAUUGGUUUGGGAUUAACACUUGCAUUUUAACAAAAAAAUAGCCUCCCUAAAAAAAUUGUUCUUACUUAUGGAAUGACCUAACCUGAUUCAUGUGUGCUGCCAAUUUUUUUUUUGAAAACAUGAACUCAGAAUUUAACAGCGGCCUCCGUAAGUGUCAAAGAAUUAUCGCUGAAAUACAGUUGAGGCCACACGAAUUAAUUCAUGAAUAUAAUUUAUAUGGACCCAAACUUGAUCAAUUCAACGGUACCGGCGAAUGCUACCAUUUGAUAAAAUAUCAAUGACAAUAAUCAGCCAGUGGGUAGCUUGCCAAUCUCUUUCAGAAGACAAUUCCAGCUUCCGCUUUUAAAGACUGUGCUGUGUGGCCACAAGCGCAAGCAGAGGAGGGCCAAGACACUGACUUGUAUUUAUCAUCUACUGGCGUAUACCAGCUAGCGAGUAUCCUUUGCUCUUGCUGGGCUCUAGUAUGCUGCUGCUAUCUGCCCAGACAAGGCAUCACGAAAUCUCAGAAAUCUGAAGAUUUCGUUCAUUCCCUUCUGCAAUUGCAAGCAGAGGAAGUUUCAUCUUGAUCGCUGUUGAUUGAAGUAAUCCUGUAUUCAGGUAUAUAUAUUCAGUUUCUUUUUACAUUAAGGUAUAUAUAUUCAGUUUAGUUACCUGUUUUGUUCACUAGUUGGUCAAUAAUCUUGUAUCAUCUAUUGCAGGUGUAGCAGCAUGGUUUUCUCCUGGUGAUUGGCCGAUAAUCUUCUUUUAUCUAUUUUGUUUAUAGCUUGCGCACAGCCUCGCGAGAUCUUGAAACUAUCGAUGGGCUAGAAGACUGGUUCUAAGGUAAGACUUGCUGCCGUACCUCAGAGAGCUUCGGACCUUAGUUUCAUAACUUCAGUGGAAUGAAUUGUGAUGAUUUAUAGGCUAGCAUGUCGGAAAACGAUUAGAGUUAAGAUGGAUUUGACAACCACAAAUAAUUAGCUGGUUGAUCAAUCUGUAUCUAACUGUAUUUUGUAACUCAAUGAAAGAAUUUCAGUAGUAGUUUGGUGUGGAGUAGUUUGACAACCACAAAUAAUUAGUAUGCUGUAACUCAUGGCCCUUUAACUGACCAAAACAAACCAGCAAAUCAUAUAAAUUGGCAACCGGAAAAAAAUUGAAAGGGAAGAAUGCCAAAUGAUUAAGAAUUUAUACCUCAAUACAAGUUUCUACGCAAACUGCUGCACAUAUCCUCAGUCACAUUCACACCUGGCUCCUGUAUAACACAAAACAUUAUCCCUCUGUUUUUAAUUGUUAUAUUUUAUAAGACUUAUAUUCAAUUAUUUUUGGGAUCCAUACUUGCGUUUCAACAGAACUGUCCUAUUUGUGGCAUGAGCUAACUCGAUUCACGUUUGCUCACGCAAAAGAAAAAAGAAAAACAUGAACUUAUAAUUCUACGGUGGCGUGCGUAAAUGUCAAUAAACUAUCACCAAAAUGUAGUUUAGGUCACACAAAUUAAAUUCAUGAAUAUACUUUAUAUGGGCCAAACUUAGCCUAUUCAUAAAUGGCCCUGGUCAAUGCUAUUGGUCAAUUAAAAGAGCAAUGACAACAAGCAGCCAAUGGGAAGCUUGCCAGUCUCUCUUGACUGGUUUGUUCCCUUCUUCUUCUGCAACUGCAAGCAGAUGAAGUUUCUGUCUUGAUCGCCGUUGAUUGAAAUGACCGUCAGUAGCUUCUCAGUUUAGCUACCGUCUGUAUCCAGGCACAUGUACAUUCAGUUUAGUUACCUGCACUUCUGGCACUCCUUUUUUUGUUCAAUAAUCUUGCAUCACCCAUUGCAGGUGCAGCAGCAUGGUUUCCCCCUGGUAAUUGACUGAUAAUUUUCUGUUAUCUAUUGCGAUUCUUAGCUUGCACUCAGCCUUGCGAGAUCUUUAAAACUAUAGAUGGGCUAGAAGACUGCAGGUUUAUAAGGUCAAAACUUGGUACCGUGGAAUAAAUUAUGAUGAUUGAUAGACUAGCAUGUACGGAACCAAUUAGAGUUAAGAUGAAUUAGACAAAAAAAUAUAAAUAUCUAGAUGAUUUAUCCAUAUCACUCUAUGUUGUAACUAAAUGCAACAUUUUCAGUAGUAGUUCGGUGUGGAGGCUUCUGUGCAGAUUGGCAACCGGAAAAACAAUUAAAGAACAGAAUGCCAGAUGAUUAAGAAUUGAGACCUUAAUACUUGGCACUACCGCUCAAGCUGUAUUUGCAUAGUUAUAUUAUUAUUAUUAUUGAAAAUGUAAAUGGCAGCCCACUAGUGAUAAAUUUCGUGAGCCUUGUCCUACUUUGAAAGCAUGUUAUCAUACCUUGUGCAUCCAUUUUCAGCUUUCGGUUUCAGCCAGACUCAAGGAAUAUCCUAGUGUUUUUGGUGGACCUCUGGCGCUGAGUUUGUCUGAUCCAUGGCAGCCGUACUUGAAACUUUGCUUAAAUCAAGUGUCAAUAAGUUGCAAGAUGUCAUUACAGAUGAGGCCAUACUAAUCCUAGGGGUGGAAGAAGAGCUCACAAAAACUACUGCGACGAGUGGAACUAAUUCAGUGUUGUAUAUACCAUGCUGAGAAAAGGAGGACAAAAGAGCAAGCAGUAAACAAUUGGCUUGGUCAACUGAGAGAUGUUGUAUAUGAUGUUGAUGAAAUCUUGGACGUGGCUAGAUGUAAAGGAAGCGAGCUACUUGCUGACCACCCUUCACCAUCAUCAGACAAAUCAGUUGAAUGUAAAGGCCUUUCAGUUUCCUCCUGUUUUUGCAACAUAGUGCCACGCCGUGAUGUUGCAGAAUGCAUGACCUCUUAAGACAGCUUGCUUUAAAUAUAUCAAGAGAAGAAUGUUUUGUUGGAGAUGUUGAAUCAUUAAGGGGUGAAAAUAUGUCAAAACUGCGACGUGUUACUGCUGUUGCAACUAAAAAGGAUAUAUUAGUGUUGCUUAGCAAGGAUAAAGUCAAAGUUAAGGUGAGGACUUUCCUAACUGUUCGUGGUCCAUAGAGAAUUGAGGAUACAUUGUUCAAGAGAUUUCUGCUUCUUCGUGUUUUGGUACUGAAUUACACACUUGUGCAAAGCAUCCCAAAUUAUAUAGGAAAAUUGAUACAUCUACGCCUACUUAAUCUAGAUCACACUGGCAUAUCUUGUCUUCCGGAAUCCAUUGGCUCCCUAAAGAACCUUCAAGUACUGAGCUUGAGAUGGUGUAAUGAUCUGCACACUCUUCCUUCGGCAAUGACCCUGUUGACCAGUUUAAGAUGUCUUAAUCUUUUUGGCACAAAAAUAAAUCAGGUUCCCAAAGGCAUAGGCAAACUGAAGUUCCUCACCCAUUUAAGAGAUUAUCCUGUUGGUGAUGGAAGUGAUAAUGCUGUUGUACAAGAUGGAUGGAAGUUAGAAGAGUUGUCUUCUUUGUCGCAGAUGAGGUAUCUUUCUCUUGUUAAAUUGGAAAGAGCAGCUCACUGCAGUACAAAUACAGUGCUUAUAGACAAAAAGCAUCUAAAGACUCUAAUACUAGAGUGGACUAAACAUGGAGAGGGGUCAUAUUCUGAAGAAAAUGUUAGCAAUGUUGAGAAGGUGUUUGAGCAGCUAAUACCUCCACCUAACCUGGAAGACCUAUCUAUUGUUAGAUUCUUUGGUCAGCGGUAUCCCACCUGGUUUGGUACCACCUGUUUGUCUUCAUUAUUAUACAUGAAACUCAUAGAAGUACGAUCAUGUGUGGAACUACCACCGUUUGGGCAGCUACCCAACUUGAAAUUUCUGAGAAUUGAUGGAGCACAUGCAGUUACCAAGGUUGGACCUGAAUUUGUUGGCUGCAAGAAGGGUGAUCCUGUAUAUAAUGAGUUGGUUGCUUUCCCUAAGCUUGAAUGCUUGAUCUUCAAGGAUAUGCCCAACUGGGAGGUGUGGUCUUUUUUUGAGGAAGAAGUUGUUGCUGCUGAUGUAAGGGGAGAGGAUGGAGUUGCUGAGAUUCUAAAAGAGGAUACCCAAUCUGCAAGGUUGCAACUGCUGCCCCAUUUGUUGCAAGUGCAACUUUGCGGUUGCCCGAAGCUGAGGGAUCUCCCGCAACAGCUUGGAAAAGACACCGCCUGUCUGAAGGAGCUCAGUUUAAGAGAACUAAACAACUUGAAGGCCAUGGAGGACCGCCCAGUGCUCUCUGAGCUCCUUUUUAUUGGGAAUUGCGAAGGCCUGGAGAGGAUCUGCAACCUCCGUCAAGUAACAAAGCUGCGUGUAUUUGGUUGUCCAAACUUAAGCCAUGUAGAGGGGCUGGACAGUUUGCAGCAGCUGAGGCUAGGCAAGGAUAUGCAAGAGAUAUCUUCAAGAUGGGUGCCUGGGCUUCAAGAGCAGCACCGGCGGCUUCAUGGCGAGGACCUGGAUGUCUACACUGUCUAGCAGUUAGAUGCCUCAAGGUAUAUAUGAACACUGCCUGCUGAUUUGAUAUUGAGUAUUGCGUCUUUGAUUCUCAUGCAACCAUUCGCUUAUGAAACAGAAUUUGUUUUUGAUUCUAUUGGCAGCAGACUGCAAGCGUAUAAGUUAUUAAUGUUGUUCUAAGUUGCUUGUGUGUGUUCCUUCUUUAACAUGCACUGUAAACCCCUGCUAUUGCUUACGUUCUCGUAAUUUUCCUCUUAGAGUUGAUAAUAUGGGCAAACGGUGAAAGGCGGCGACAAGUACUUGUUCAAGGAGCUAUCUGUGGGAGGAGAAGUGUGAAGGAUAAGGGACAAAGCUCUGUUCUCUGCGAUGGAGCUGAAGAAGAAGAAGGAAACUGCAGAAACUACUUACUAGCUACACCAUCUGCCAAAAAACUUAAUAGUGCAAUGCACUGCUCUUCAGACUUCAGUGGUACUACUAUCGUUUUCUUUUCUGAACUUAAUUAUUGUCGCUCUUCAGUGGCUGUUUAGUUUAGUUGGGAGGAAUUGGAUAUAUUUGGUUAAUUGGAACGUUGCCUGUAAUCAAACUGGCCAGGUGCAUCUCGUGUGUAAUACUGUAUUUGUUUACCCCCACGCUGGAUUGGAUGUAAUCAAACCUUAAAUCUUGUGCGCGGGACUAAUAAGGUUACUUCACUCAUGGACGGGCUGCAAUCAAUCAAGACAUGCUUUCUUGUCAGAGGACACGGUUCAGUUCGCAACUGUCUGAGCACACUGAGCGAAACCCGCCAUCGCUCCAAGCUGAUACUCCCUCCGUUCCUA